This 114-nucleotide Y RNA is filed under the name Prolemur simus (greater bamboo lemur). Its description in RNAcentral is "Y RNA (ENSPSMG00000009085.1)". It matches the Rfam family "Y RNA". From Rfam's summary of the family: Y RNAs are components of the Ro ribonucleoprotein particle (Ro RNP), in association with Ro60 and La proteins. The record is from Rfam by way of RNAcentral. Lineage: Eukaryota; Metazoa; Chordata; Mammalia; Primates; Lemuridae.
GGCUGGUCCAAAGAUAGUGAGCUAUCUCACUUGAUUGUUCACAGUCAGUUACAUAUUGAACUCCUUGUUCUACUACUUUCCCCAUUUCUCACUGCUGCACUUGACUAGUCUUAA